UUUUUAGGGCUCAUAUCAAGUGUAAAUUUUGAAAGAUCUGUCACAGUGGGAAAAAACCCAAUUCAAUUUGAAGGGACUAAAAGAGAAAGAGAAAAAGAAGGAAGACGAAGAUAGAAUCUGAGAUACCAAACCAAAGCCCUUUGAUGAAAAGGUGUUGGCGGUACCUACAAGUUCCAAGCUUCUUGUUUGUGUUGUUUGUUUUGGAAGGGUGAAAAAAGUAAUAAUAUAUCUAUCUAUGGAAUUGGGUAUUCCCACUCGAGUCCCCUCUCUUUCUAAUCACUGCCCU
This 286-nucleotide long non-coding RNA is filed under the name Medicago truncatula (barrel medic). RNAcentral's name for it is "lncRNA gene25578". Lineage: Eukaryota; Viridiplantae; Streptophyta; Magnoliopsida; Fabales; Fabaceae. The record is from RNAcentral.